GACGAACGCUGGCGGCGUGCCUAAUACAUGCAAGUUGAGCGAUGAAGAUUGGUGCUUGCCCCAAUUUGAAGAGCAGCGAACGGGUGAGUAACGCGUGGGGAAUCUGCCUUUGAGCGGGGGACAACAUUUGGAAACGAAUGCUAAUACCGCAUAACAACUUUAAACAUAAGUUUUAAGUUUGAAAGAUGCAAUUGCAUCACUCAAAGAUGAUCCCGCGUUGUAUUAGCUAGUUGGUGAGGUAAAGGCUCACCAAGGCGAUGAUACAUAGCCGACCUGAGAGGGUGAUCGGCCACAUUGGGACUGAGACACGGCCCAAACUCCUACGGGAGGCAGCAGUAGGGAAUCUUCGGCAAUGGACGAAAGUCUGACCGAGCAACGCCGCGUGAGUGAAGAAGGGUGUCGGAUCGUAAAACUCUGUUGGUAGAGAAGAACGUUGGUGAGAGUGGAAAGCUCAUCAAGUGACGGUAACUACCCAGAAAGGGACGGCUAACUACGUG
RNAcentral lists this ribosomal RNA (497 nucleotides) under uncultured bacterium. RNAcentral's name for it is "partial 16S ribosomal RNA". It matches the Rfam family "Bacterial small subunit ribosomal RNA", at positions 28 to 507 of the family's 1533-position model. The record is from RNAcentral.